Molecule: transfer RNA, 61 nt
Filed under: Massilia sp. Root335
Lineage: Bacteria; Pseudomonadati; Pseudomonadota; Betaproteobacteria; Burkholderiales; Oxalobacteraceae
Description: tRNA-Ser
Rfam family: tRNA
About the family: Transfer RNA (tRNA) molecules are approximately 80 nucleotides in length. Their secondary structure includes four short double-helical elements and three loops (D, anti-codon, and T loops).
Source: RNAcentral
UUGGUAGAGCGCAACCUUGCCAAGGUUGAGGUCGAGAGUUCGAGACUCUUCUCCCGCUCCA